AGGAUCACGGUUUGAAACCAUCCCCGGAAGAAAAGUCCAUGAGACACCAUCUCCAGCUGACCAGCAAAACACCAUACUGGAGACAUAACCUAACUGGAAGAGUGCCAGCAAUGAGCAAUAAAGCUGCGUAAGAGUGUAAAAUCUUGAUUUCAAAAUCUUGCGCUGGCCAAAAAUAAAAAAGAAAGAAAGAAAAUCAACGGAGGAGGGGAGGAAUUCUUGGAAUUAGUUCUGGCCUCAGAACUUUUAGCUCUCAGGGCUCAAAUAAAGUCAUCAAGAUCUGGUCUUCACGACUCCUCAGGUUGUCUUCAGAGCCAGCUUCCUUCCCUUUCAGCAGCUCUCCGUCACUCGCUUGUAUUUCCUGAGGAUUGGCUCUGCAAGGGAAGGAUUGCCCUUUCAUCACUCCCGCACGCCCCCUGGAGGCUGAUCCCAUUGUCCAUGGAUGAGGGGACCCUGCUGAUGGGAUCAGACCGUCUCUGGUCUUCCAUUUCCUGUGGUCGUCUAACUCUAAGCCACUGUGAGAUGCGGUCUUGAUGACUUACAUCAGGUUUCAUUUUGAUGAAUUCUUAUUAAGCACAAGACACUAAUUCAAAACAAUGAUGCGUUCUUAUUCUACUUCAUGAACCAUUUUCUAGGACAAAUUUCUUUGAGGACCUGACACACAAGUGAAUGCAUGAAAUAAAGAAAACAAAGAUCAAUUUUAGGGCACUAUUCCGACUGACGAGUACAAUGAGCACAUCACUGCUGAUUUUUAAGAGCCCACUUCUGGAGCUGAGACUCAAGCUCUGCUCUCUUGUACCCAGAGGGCUACCUGGUGAUCAUUAGACUUCUCCACUCCCCACGUCAGUCCAAGGUCACCAACACUGUCCCAGGAGCGGCGUGUGUGUGUACUGAUGGCCAAGGAGCAAUCUCCCCAGAUAGUCUAUGAGGCCUAAAAAGAGACU
Long non-coding RNA from Perognathus longimembris pacificus (Pacific pocket mouse), 941 nucleotides. RefSeq lists it as uncharacterized. The transcript is spliced from 3 exons. The record is from RefSeq and is a predicted model, not a curated record. Lineage: Eukaryota; Metazoa; Chordata; Mammalia; Rodentia; Heteromyidae.